UAAAUUUUAGUUUAGACAAAGGGGGUGCUGAUGCCACUACAGAUUCGAAUUGUCUCAACUAUCUACUUGUUAAAGGUAGCCUGGAUCCACAACAGAGAUGAAAAUCAAACUGAGAUUGUCCGAAAGAUGUCGUUCCUUGCUUCCUUGGACGAAGAUCUACUGGCUA
Molecule: long non-coding RNA, 166 nt
Organism: Lucilia sericata (common green bottle fly)
Lineage: Eukaryota; Metazoa; Arthropoda; Insecta; Diptera; Calliphoridae
Exons: 2
Source: RefSeq, a predicted model, not a curated record